CGGCGCCCUUUGACCCAGCUCCUCACCCCUGUCGCAGUGGCCCCGAGGUUCGAGUCUUGCUCUUCAAUGCUACCGGGGACCGGGACCCGGCGGCCCUGCUGAAGCUGCUGCAGCCCUGCCAGUUUGACUAUGCCGUCUUCUGCCCUAACCUGACAGAGGUGUCAUCCACAGGCAACGCAGACCAACAGAACUUCACAGUGACACUGGACCAGGUUCUGCUCCGCUGCCUGGAACACCAGCAGCACUGGAACCACCUGGACGAAGAGCAGGCCAGCCCGGACCUCUGGAGUGCCCCCAGCCCAGAGCCCGGUGGGUCCACAUCCCUGCUUCUGGCGCCCCACCCACCCCACACCUGCAGUGCCAGCUCCCUCGUCUUCAGCUGCAUUUCACAUGCCUUGCAAUGGAUCAGCCAAGGCCGAGACCCCAUCUUCCAGCCACCUAGUCCCCCAAAGGGCCUCCUCACCCACCCUGUGGCUCACAGUGGGGCCAGCAUACUCCGUGAGGCUGCUGCCAUCCAUGUGCUAGUCACUGGCAGCCUGCACCUGGUGGGUGGUGUCCUG
Molecule: small RNA, 560 nt
Filed under: Pan troglodytes (chimpanzee)
Lineage: Eukaryota; Metazoa; Chordata; Mammalia; Primates; Hominidae
Description: processed transcript
Source: RNAcentral